Non-coding RNA from Paramuricea clavata, 302 nucleotides. Lineage: Eukaryota; Metazoa; Cnidaria; Anthozoa; Malacalcyonacea; Plexauridae. The record is from the annotation of a GenBank genome assembly.
UGUCGGCAAGUGUUGAUCGUCAUGUCUUGGUUCAGCUUGCAUGGCCUGAAAAGGGACUCCGAACGCAACAUUUCGGGUCUUAAUGCAGCACUCGCCACAAGAAAUCAAAACAAAAUUAGGCGAAGCAGUCGACCCAGAGGGAAAUGUAUGUAUUGGUUCAAUUUUGAUUCUUUUUUCGAUCUAAAAAUAUUAAAUUUUUAACAAUGAAAUUUUGUCGCCUAUUUCAGGUUUUAAACAUGGCGGCCGUUGUAGAGGUUAUUGGACUUCUUGAGCGUACUCCGCUAACAAAGGAAGCUUUAGAG